This 434-nucleotide long non-coding RNA is filed under the name Pan troglodytes (chimpanzee). RNAcentral describes it as "lincRNA". The record is from RNAcentral. Lineage: Eukaryota; Metazoa; Chordata; Mammalia; Primates; Hominidae.
GUGACUCGAAGAAGCCUUCCAAAAAGCGUGUGAAAAGGGAGCCCUCCUCUACUACCAAGGUGACUUCAGGGAGCACAUUCAAUGGUACGUAUUCUGGAAUCACUCACUGGUUGUUAGAAAGGAUUCUAUAGGAAAUCUGGAGCUUAACUGCUGGCUUUUGUCUGGAGAGCCUCCAUGAUCCAAGACAUCUGGUGGGAAUGAGGAUGUGGGUAUAGUAAAGGAAACUGGUUUUCCAGGUGACAUACUCUUUUAUCUAUGUAUAGUUUCUGGGAAUGUGUCACAUUAGGUUGUGUGUGGGUAUGUGUGUAUUAGGGCGGGGGUGGGUGAGGUGGUCUGUGUGCACAUCUGCAUGAUUUGCUUGUGAAUGUGUGUCUAUGUGUGUUUCCCCCAGGAAAAAAAUGUUGUGUUUACCCAGCACAACUCUCAGUGCCAUU